AAAUUGAAGAGUUUGAUCAUGGCUCAGAUUGAACGCUGGCGGCAGGCCUAACACAUGCAAGUCGAACGGUAACAGGAAACAGCUUGCUGUUUCGCUGACGAGUGGCGGACGGGUGAGUAAUGUCUGGGAAACUGCCUGAUGGAGGGGGAUAACUACUGGAAACGGUAGCUAAUACCGCAUAACGUCGCAAGACCAAAGAGGGGGACCUUCGGGCCUCUUGCCAUCGGAUGUGCCCAGAUGGGAUUAGCUAGUAGGUGGGGUAACGGCUCACCUAGGCGACGAUCCCUAGCUGGUCUGAGAGGAUGACCAGCCACACUGGAACUGAGACACGGUCCAGACUCCUACGGGAGGCAGCAGUGGGGAAUAUUGCACAAUGGGCGCAAGCCUGAUGCAGCCAUGCCGCGUGUAUGAAGAAGGCCUUCGGGUUGUAAAGUACUUUCAGCGGGGAGGAAGGGAGUAAAGUUAAUACCUUUGCUCAUUGACGUUACCCGCAGAAGAAGCACCGGCUAACUCCGUGCCAGCAGCCGCGGUAAUACGGAGGGUGCAAGCGUUAAUCGGAAUUACUGGGCGUAAAGCGCACGCAGGCGGUUUGUUAAGUCAGAUGUGAAAUCCCCGGGCUCAACCUGGGAACUGCAUCUGAUACUGGCAAGCUUGAGUCUCGUAGAGGGGGGUAGAAUUCCAGGUGUAGCGGUGAAAUGCGUAGAGAUCUGGAGGAAUACCGGUGGCGAAGGCGGCCCCCUGGACGAAGACUGACGCUCAGGUGCGAAAGCGUGGGGAGCAAACAGGAUUAGAUACCCUGGUAGUCCACGCCGUAAACGAUGUCGACUUGGAGGUUGUGCCCUUGAGGCGUGGCUUCCGGAGCUAACGCGUUAAGUCGACCGCCUGGGGAGUACGGCCGCAAGGUUAAAACUCAAAUGAAUUGACGGGGGCCCGCACAAGCGGUGGAGCAUGUGGUUUAAUUCGAUGCAACGCGAAGAACCUUACCUGGUCUUGACAUCCACAGAACUUUCCAGAGAUGGAUUGGUGCCUUCGGGAACUGUGAGACAGGUGCUGCAUGGCUGUCGUCAGCUCGUGUUGUGAAAUGUUGGGUUAAGUCCCGCAACGAGCGCAACCCUUAUCCUUUGUUGCCAGCGGUCCGGCCGGGAACUCAAAGGAGACUGCCAGUGAUAAACUGGAGGAAGGUGGGGAUGACGUCAAGUCAUCAUGGCCCUUACGGCCAGGGCUACACACGUGCUACAAUGGCGCAUACAAAGAGAAGCGACCUCGCGAGAGCAAGCGGACCUCAUAAAGUGCGUCGUAGUCCGGAUUGGAGUCUGCAACUCGACUCCAUGAAGUCGGAAUCGCUAGUAAUCGUGGAUCAGAAUGCCACGGUGAAUACGUUCCCGGGCCUUGUACACACCGCCCGUCACACCAUGGGAGUGGGUUGCAAAAGAAGUAGGUAGCUUAACCUUCGGGAGGGCGCUUACCACUUUGUGAUUCAUGACUGGGGUGAAGUCGUAACAAGGUAACCGUAGGGGAACCUGCGGUUGGAUCACCUCCUUA
This 1542-nucleotide ribosomal RNA is filed under the name Escherichia coli. Its description in RNAcentral is "bacterial SSU rRNA". It matches the Rfam family "Bacterial small subunit ribosomal RNA". Lineage: Bacteria; Pseudomonadati; Pseudomonadota; Gammaproteobacteria; Enterobacterales; Enterobacteriaceae. The record is from RNAcentral.